GAGAAAAGCCAAUGAAGCCCAUUCAGAGGGGAGAAAUACAAAUUACCGGACCCGGCCCUAUAUUUUUAGUAGCCAUUGCCACCAAAGGGAGCAACUAAGCCCUAGGAUGGGACUGGCCAUUUUGUCCACAGGACUUGUCUGAGCCCUGGCUGACACUAGUGGAACUGGAAGUUACAAACCGGCUCAACUCAGAUGGGGCCGAUUUCAUAGUCCCGCCCUCGGAAUUAGACACUAACAGGAAGUCCCGGCCCCCAAAAAGGGAAGCUCCAGAAGACAGGACUGCGCGCUGAUUGGCCACUUCUUGGUAACCUCAAGGUCCAGGAGCCUGGCCCUGUCAACCCAGAGACUCUGGAUCUUCAAGGAGGUUCUUCUCCCCACAGUAUGUCCCCC
This is a long non-coding RNA of Phyllostomus hastatus (greater spear-nosed bat), 390 nucleotides long. RefSeq lists it as uncharacterized. The record is from RefSeq and is a predicted model, not a curated record. Lineage: Eukaryota; Metazoa; Chordata; Mammalia; Chiroptera; Phyllostomidae. The transcript is spliced from 3 exons.